Molecule: long non-coding RNA, 199 nt
Organism: Calypte anna (Anna's hummingbird)
Lineage: Eukaryota; Metazoa; Chordata; Aves; Apodiformes; Trochilidae
Exons: 3
Source: RefSeq, a predicted model, not a curated record
CUCCCAGACCACAUUAUGGUUUGUUGUCAUUUUGAAGGUGGAAGCGGCGAGCAAAGCGGGCUACGGGCACCGGAGGUGGCUGUGGCAAGGUGCCCUCCUAACCUCAUUUUGGCACCCCAAAGAGAUGGCAGGCAGAUGGGUGAGAGGCUGAGGUAUCACACACAGUGCUGGAGUGACAAAGCCAUGUCCUGAGGAGCAG